Molecule: non-coding RNA, 78 nt
Organism: Rattus norvegicus (Norway rat)
Lineage: Eukaryota; Metazoa; Chordata; Mammalia; Rodentia; Muridae
Source: Rfam
ACCGCUGAGCCAUCUCUCCAGCCCCACAAUUAAUUGUUUUUAAGACAAUCUCAUGGGCUGGAGAGAUGGCUCAGCGGU